This is a non-coding RNA of Paramuricea clavata, 335 nucleotides long. NCBI's taxonomy places the organism in Eukaryota, Metazoa, Cnidaria, Anthozoa, Malacalcyonacea, Plexauridae. The record is from the annotation of a GenBank genome assembly.
UUUUGCUAUUUGAAAAGGGAGUUUUGCUAUUUGAAAACGGAGUUUUGCUAUUUGAAAAGGGUGUUUUGCUAUUUGAAAAGAAAGUUUUGCUAUUUGAAAAGGGUGUUUUGCUAUUUGAAAACGGAGUUUUGCUAUUUGAAAAGGGUGUUUUGCUAUUUGAAAAGGGAGUUUUGCUAUUUGAAAAGGGAGUUUUGCUAUUUGAAAAGGGAGUUUUGCUAUUUGAAAAGGGAGUUUUGCUAUUUGAAAAGGGUGUUUUGCUAUUUGAAAACGGAGUUUUGCUAUUUGAAAAAGGUGUUUUGCUAUUUGAAAAGGGAGUUUUGCUAUUUGAAAAGGGA